CUGCAUUGCCCUAACUUAUUAACAACCCUCAACUCACAGCUAAUCCUCACUUCUCCAGCUUUUCUUGAAAUAAUCUAGUACAAGCCCAAAUCCUAUGAGAAGCCCCUUUCAAUUCCUUGUUGAGACCUCUACAGUUCCUUUGGAGUGCUUUCCCCGCUCCUGCAGCAAGACUUUCUUGCAAAAAUGCCUGUUUGGGAUUCCUCAGAGUACAGACAAAAAGGAAGGCUUGAUCAGCAUGUGGUGGAUCUGAAGAUUCAAAGAGGUGCCACAGCUCAAAAGUAGACAUUUUGGCAAAUGUGAAGAAGUGAGAUUCAAUGAAGAUGAUAAGAAAUGAAAGGUGUUACCAAAAUUACACAAGUAUUUCUGUCAUUUUCCUACUAAAUUACAUGAAGGGGGUUGUCUGCUUAUGAGCUGCACCACCGAGCAGCAUGCCUAUCAGCGAGAAGGUGCCUGACAAUUCUCAGUUGAAAUGUCCUGACCAAGUUCCCCCAGAAAUUUAUGACUAAUAACAAAAGGGAAAAGCUACCCUCACAAGGAGAUGUCCAGUUGACACUAUCUCAACCAAAAUUAUUAAACAUAGCAUCAGCAAUCGUGGGACAAACAGACGCAAACAUCUCCUGGUGUGAGGCGAGGAAAGAAGACGACUUUACCAUGUGAACCCCUGUGGCUUCCUCAGAGACUGUCUGCUCUGGCACAUGCUCCUCCAGGUCUU
Molecule: long non-coding RNA, 712 nt
Filed under: Homo sapiens (human)
Lineage: Eukaryota; Metazoa; Chordata; Mammalia; Primates; Hominidae
Description: HSALNT0331282
Source: RNAcentral